UUGGAGGGCAAGUCUGGUGCCAGCAGCCGCGGUAAUUCCAGCUCCUAUAGCGUAUAUUAAAGUUGUUGCAGUUAAAAAGCUCGUAGUUGAAUUUCGGGAUUGGCGCAUCGGUCGUGCCUCACGGGGUAUGAACUGGUGCAGUCAAUUUCUCACCUUCUGGAGAACCGCGAUGUCCUUAAUUGGAUGCCGCGGGGAACCAGGACCUUUACUUUGAAAAAAUUAGAGUGUUUAAAGCAGGCAUUUUUGCUUGAAUACAUUAGCAUGGAAUAAUAAAAUAGGACGGCAUGGUUCUAUUUUGUUGGUUUCUAGGACCACCGUAAUGAUUAAUAGGGAUAGUUGGGGGCAUUAGUAUUCAAUUGUCAGAGGUGAAAUUCUUGGAUUUAUUGAAGACUAACUACUGCGAAAGCAUUUGCCAAGGAUGUUUUCAUUAAUCAAGAACGAAAGUUAGGGGAUCGAAGACGAUCAGAUACCGUCGUAGUCUUAACCAUAAACUAUGCCGACUAGGAAUCAGACGAUGUUAAUUUUUUAAUGACUCGUUUGGCACCUUACGGGAAACCAAAGUGUUUGGGUUC
RNAcentral lists this ribosomal RNA (572 nucleotides) under uncultured Glomeromycotina. RNAcentral describes it as "SSU rRNA". It matches the Rfam family "Eukaryotic small subunit ribosomal RNA", at positions 548 to 1114 of the family's 1831-position model. Lineage: Eukaryota; Fungi; Glomeromycota. The record is from RNAcentral.